GACGGAGGAUGCAGGCAUUAUCCGGAAUGAUUGGGCGUAAAGCGUCCGCAGGUGGCAGUUCAAGUCUGCUGUCAAAGACCGGGGCUUAACUUCGGAAAGGCAGUGGAAACUGAACAGCUAGAGUAUGGUAGGGGCAGAGGGAAUUCCUGGUGUAGCGGCGAAAUGCGUAGAUAUCGGGAAGAACACCAGUGGCGAAAGCGCUCUACUGGGCCAUAACUGACACUGAGGGACGAAAGCUAGGGGAGCGAAAGGG
This 253-nucleotide ribosomal RNA is filed under the name uncultured bacterium. RNAcentral's name for it is "partial 16S ribosomal RNA". It matches the Rfam family "Bacterial small subunit ribosomal RNA", at positions 524 to 776 of the family's 1533-position model. The record is from RNAcentral.